UGCCGGUCCCCUCGCAACGAACGGUCGUAAACCCCGCCAGGCCCGGAAGGGAGCAACGGUAGCGGCUAUCUCGUGUGCCGGGGUGUGGCUGGUGGGU
This 97-nucleotide signal recognition particle RNA is filed under the name Reinekea thalattae. RNAcentral's name for it is "Bacterial small signal recognition particle RNA". It matches the Rfam family "Bacterial small signal recognition particle RNA". From Rfam's summary of the family: The signal recognition particle (SRP) is a universally conserved ribonucleoprotein involved in the co-translational targeting of proteins to membranes. Archaeal SRP consists of a 7S RNA and homologues of the eukaryotic SRP19 and SRP54 proteins. Lineage: Bacteria; Pseudomonadati; Pseudomonadota; Gammaproteobacteria; Oceanospirillales; Saccharospirillaceae. The record is from Rfam by way of RNAcentral.